AGCUUUCCAACUUUUCAUUCUGCCUACUCCCUUAAAAAAAAAAAAUCUCCUGUUUUGGGAUUCUUCCUCAAGAAAGUAGAAGCAAAGCUGAGACUAACAAGGAAAGUUGCCAAGUGAUGAGCCCAAGACUGGGAGGCCCAGUGCAUGAAGUUGGGUCCCAGUAUUUCACUGGGCCCAUUUGCUUCUCAAACCACCGCUGGAGGCUGACUGCAUACACCAUUGAAACAGCGUUAGCUAAAGAUAAGUGACCUGCACACUGACCUGCAGUAAAUGCUCCUCAGACCUUAUUCUGCUAAAUGUCCUUGUAUAACUAAUAAUACCGGUAUUGAGCACUCUCUUUGAAAUGUCUUCUCCUAUUUAUCUGACCACUUCCUUUUUGUCUCCAUUGAGGAUUCCUUUCUCUCAACUGAUGAUAUUCUCCAGGGUUCUGUCCACCA
This 437-nucleotide long non-coding RNA is filed under the name Fukomys damarensis (Damara mole-rat). RNAcentral describes it as "lncRNA (ENSFDAG00000031052.1)". The record is from RNAcentral. Lineage: Eukaryota; Metazoa; Chordata; Mammalia; Rodentia; Bathyergidae.